CGAACGCGUCUUGGUUAUUGAUGUUAGAUGCUUGCAUUUAACUGAUUUAACAUUGAGACGAGUGGCGAACUGGUGAGUAACACGUGGGUAACCUGCCCUUGAAGUAGGGGAUAACACUUGGAAACAGGUGCUAAUACCGUAUAACAACCAAAACCACCUGGUUUUGGUUUAAAAGAUGGCUUCGGCUAUCACUUUAGGAUGGACCCGCGGCGUAUUAGCUUGUUGGUAAGGUAACGGCCUACCAAGGCAAUGAUACGUAGCCGACCUGAGAGGGUAAUCGGCCACAUUGGGACUGAGACACGGCCCAAACUCCUACGGGAGGCAGCAGUAGGGAAUCUUCCACAAUGGACGAAAGUCUGAUGGAGCAACGCCGCGUGAGUGAUGAAGGGUUUCGGCUCGUAAAACUCUGUUGUUGGAGAAGAACAGGUGUGAGAGUAACUGUUCACAUCUUGACGGUAUCCAACCAGAAAGCCACGGCUAACUACGUGCCAGCAGCCGCGGUAAUACGUAGGUGGCAAGCGUUGUCCGGAUUUAUUGGGCGUAAAGCGAGCGCAGGCGGUUUCUUAGGUCUGAUGUGAAAGCCUUCGGCUUAACCGGAGAAGUGCAUCGGAAACCAGGAGACUUGAGUGCAGAAGAGGACAGUGGAACUCCAUGUGUAGCGGUGAAAUGCGUAGAUAUAUGGAAGAACACCAGUGGCGAAGGCGGCUGUCUGGUCUGUAACUGACGCUGAGGCUCGAAAGCAUGGGUAGCGAACAGGAUUAGAUACCCUGGUAGUCCAUGCCGUACACGAUGAGUGCUAAGUGUUGGAGGGUUUCCGCCCUUCAGUGCUGCAGCUAACG
RNAcentral lists this ribosomal RNA (839 nucleotides) under uncultured bacterium. RNAcentral describes it as "bacterial SSU rRNA". It matches the Rfam family "Bacterial small subunit ribosomal RNA", at positions 30 to 857 of the family's 1533-position model. The record is from RNAcentral.